UAUAGAUAGGAGUUUUACCUUUAGCUUUGUUAGAAUCAUCCUUCUCUUUCAUUUUGUCUUUCUCCCACCACUCUUUUGAUAAUGGUGUGUCUCCAAGACGAGUAGAAGAAGGCACCUUCUCAAGAUUUUGUUCCUCUUGAGCUUCUUUAUUUCUUGGAGACCUCCUCUUGCUUGUUGGUUCACCAACAUCUUCUUCACGAAUAGUUCUACCUCUUUUCUCUUCAACCAUAGCAUCAUGCAAAUCAUCAUCAUAUUUGUCUUUACACAAAAAAGCUUUAAUACUAAUGAUAUCAACUAGAUCAUCCCAUU
RNAcentral lists this long non-coding RNA (309 nucleotides) under Physcomitrium patens. RNAcentral's name for it is "long non-coding RNA (PPAT_LNC011364)". Lineage: Eukaryota; Viridiplantae; Streptophyta; Bryopsida; Funariales; Funariaceae. The record is from RNAcentral.